GCAUAACUUAUUGACAGUACCUGUUACACCAAUAACAUUCUAACUGUUCUGAAUUUUAUGGAAAUAAGCAUUGUGUGUAAGUUUCAAAACAUUUGGUUGUGGCAAACUUAAGUUAGAGAACGGAAACAAAAAAGUCAGCAUUUUUUUCCAUUUGUAUAAGGGUAUAAGUCUGAAACGGACGUACUUACAGACAAGGGUACAACUUAAUGCCCCCUUUGCUACAGUGGGGGCAUACAAAUUCUACAUGUUCUAUCUGAGGAAAUAUAUACCAACGAUCUACAUUAAAUUGUGCAAGAAUUUGUCAAU
Molecule: long non-coding RNA, 306 nt
Filed under: Mytilus galloprovincialis (Mediterranean mussel)
Lineage: Eukaryota; Metazoa; Mollusca; Bivalvia; Mytilida; Mytilidae
Source: RNAcentral